This 463-nucleotide ribosomal RNA is filed under the name uncultured bacterium. RNAcentral describes it as "partial 16S ribosomal RNA". It matches the Rfam family "Bacterial small subunit ribosomal RNA", at positions 28 to 507 of the family's 1533-position model. The record is from RNAcentral.
GAUGAACGCUGACAGAAUGCUUAACACAUGCAAGUCGAUGGGGAAGUGGUGCUUGCACCAUGGUAACCAUGGCGGACGGGUGAGUAACGCGUAAGGAACUUGCCUGCGGGACUGGGAUAACAGCAGGAAACUGCUGAUAAUACCGGAUAAGGUCAUUAAGCUGCAUAGCUUAGUGAUGAAAGGAGACGCCUGCGGAGAGCCUUGCGUCCUAUUAGCUAGUUGGAGGGGUAACGGCCCACCAAGGCGAAGAUAGGUAGCCGGCCUGAGAGGGUGGACGGCCACAAGGGGACUGAGAUACGGCCCUUACUCCUACGGGAGGCGGCAGUGGGGAAUAUUGGACAAUGGGGGCAACCCUGAUCCAGCAAUUCUGUGUGCACGAAGACGGUUUUCGGAUUGUAAAGUGCUUUCAGCAGGGAAGAAGGAAGUGACGGUACCUGCAGAAGAAGCGACGGCUAAAUACGUG